CCCCGCGUCCCCCACUUCAACAUCCUUUAGUUGCUGUGACGGCGCAUGCGUCCUCCCUCACGCCUCUCAACCGCAGAGACCUAGCCAACUGCUACAGCAACGCAGCAACCGUCUGUAGUUAAGGGGACUUGAUGAAAUCUAUCCAUUGACGUAGGGGGCCUAUGGAAUCCCUGUAGUAGAGUGUGUACCCACAGAAAAGAAAUUCUGGAUCCUUUGGAAUACUGAAGUAUCUUUCACAGUGAUACCAGGAUGUUCUGAAAACUGCUAAAUUCAUUACCAUGUCAGCAAAGAACCUUUGACCUGGUGACUUUCAGAUCUGUUCUGUGAUACAGUUUGAGUGUUGGCUGACUCGAUUUAUUUGAAGGAGAAGAUCACUGGGUCAUGAUUUGAUAACCUGAUAUUUCACUGGACAAAUGACUAUCCUGAGGCAGACCUGUCCAUCAUUGCAGACAAUGUUGUCUGAAAGGUCUGGAAGUUCCAUCGGCAGUUGGAAUUAAAUGGUAGCAGAGGAGGAAUCUGCAGUGAUUACUCCAGCACACUUGGAGAGGACAGCCAUUCACAAGAAGAUGACCAACUCAAGUCUGGCUGCAUCUUUUUGGACAGUGUCAAGCCAAGGUGAAAUAUAAAAUGCCUGCUCAGGAGACCUGCAAACUGCUUUAUGUUCAAAUGAGGUUUAAGUACUAGCCUCAUGACAGGUUUUUUUUUUUUUAACAAUAGUUGAAAGUUAUUCUACGUGAAUCAUGCGGAUAUUACAUUGAUCAUGUUAAUGUGUGCCAUGAUUCUUUCAUGCUUAGCAUUACUUUGUAUGUAAAAAUAAAGUACUUAUCCCAUAUCUUCAUAUUGUGUACCAAGUACCUCUUAGAUAACUCCCUUUUUUGUGAGACCUAAGUUGUAAGCUAUUUUUCCUAUGGGCUCCAGGGUGCGUAGCAUGAUGGGAUGAAACACGUGAGAAACAAGCCUACUCCUCAUUAGAGGCCAAGUCCCCCAGGUCUGACCUGGGUCCAAAUUACAUGUCCACACCCCAGAUCAAGAGGAACAAAUGCCCUCAUCCCUAUGGAUCCAGCUAACAGCUCCUCAGGAUUAGAGUGGAUUGUCUCAAUCUUCUCCAUGAAAUAAAAAAUUAGAUUAUCUGCUCUAAGUUAG
Phascolarctos cinereus (koala) is the source of this 1143-nucleotide non-coding RNA. The record is from RefSeq and is a predicted model, not a curated record. NCBI's taxonomy places the organism in Eukaryota, Metazoa, Chordata, Mammalia, Diprotodontia, Phascolarctidae.